This 254-nucleotide ribosomal RNA is filed under the name uncultured bacterium. Its description in RNAcentral is "partial 16S ribosomal RNA". It matches the Rfam family "Bacterial small subunit ribosomal RNA", at positions 524 to 776 of the family's 1533-position model. The record is from RNAcentral.
UACAGAGGUCCCGAGCGUUUGUUCGGAUUCACUGGGCGUAAAGGGUGCGUAGGUGGUGAGGUAAGUCGGAUGUGAAAUCUCCAAGCUCAACUUGGAAAUGGCAUUGGAAACUACCUUGCUGGAGGUUUGGAGGGGGGACUGGAAUUCUCGGUGUAGCAGUGAAAUGCGUAGAUAUCGAGAGGAACACCAGUGGCGAAGGCGAGUCCCUGGACAAAACCUGACACUGAGGCACGAAAGCUAGGGGAGCAAACAGG